This 233-nucleotide ribosomal RNA is filed under the name uncultured bacterium. RNAcentral's name for it is "partial 16S ribosomal RNA". It matches the Rfam family "Bacterial small subunit ribosomal RNA", at positions 559 to 793 of the family's 1533-position model. The record is from RNAcentral.
CGUAAAGCGUGCGCAGGCGGCUUUGCAAGACAGAGGUGAAAUCCCGGGCUCAACCUGGGAACUGCCUUUGUGACUGCAAGGCUAGAGUACGGCAGAGGGGAGUGGAAUUCCGCGUGUAGCAGUGAAAUGCGUAGAUAUGCGGAGGAACACCGAUGGCGAAGGCAAUCCCUGGGCCUGUACUGACGCUCAUGCACGAAAGCGUGGGGAGCAAACAGGAUUAGAUACCCUGGUAG